UACGCGUCGCCUGGCAGAUUUGCUUCCCACGAGAACGUGUGGGCCAUGUACACGCAUCGACAUGAAUUCUGCAAAUGCUCAUUUCGUCAUGAAUUCUCCACUUUGCAUACUUUUCUUUUCACUUCUUCCACCCAAUCCUUGCCUUUAUGAACUUGAAAUCACUCACCAAACAUAUCAAGGCAUCGAAUAGAAUUAAAGUGAAUUAAAAUUAGCAAUCUAAAGGCCUAAAAGGCAUGUUUUCACUCUUAAGCACAAAUAAGGGAGAGAUCGCAAAAUCAUGCUA
This is a non-coding RNA of Arachis ipaensis, 283 nucleotides long. Lineage: Eukaryota; Viridiplantae; Streptophyta; Magnoliopsida; Fabales; Fabaceae. The record is from RefSeq and is a predicted model, not a curated record.